This 464-nucleotide ribosomal RNA is filed under the name Vreelandella stevensii. Its description in RNAcentral is "partial 16S ribosomal RNA". It matches the Rfam family "Bacterial small subunit ribosomal RNA", at positions 338 to 795 of the family's 1533-position model. Lineage: Bacteria; Pseudomonadati; Pseudomonadota; Gammaproteobacteria; Oceanospirillales; Halomonadaceae. The record is from RNAcentral.
CCUACGUUGGCUGCAGUGGGGAAUAUUGGACAAUGGGCGAAAGCCUGAUCCAGCCAUGCCGCGUGUGUGAAGAAGGCCUUCGGGUUGUAAAGCACUUUCAGUGGGGAAGAAAGCCUUGGGGCUAAUACCCUCGAGGAAGGACAUCACCCACAGAAGAAGCACCGACUAACUCCGUGCCAGCAGCCGCGGUAAUACGGAGGGUGCGAGCGUUAAUCGGAAUUACUGGGCGUAAAGCGCGCGUAGGCGGUCUGAUAAGCCGGUUGUGAAAGCCCCGGGCUCAACCUGGGAACGGCAUCCGGAACUGUCAGGCUAGAGUGCAGGAGAGGAAGGUAGAAUUCCCGGUGUAGCGGUGAAAUGCGUAGAGAUCGGGAGGAAUACCAGUGGCGAAGGCGGCCUUCUGGACUGACACUGACGCUGAGGUGCGAAAGCGUGGGUAGCAAACAGGAUUAGAUACCCGAGUAGUC